AGAGUUUGAUCCUGGCUCAGAUUGAACGCUGGCGGCAUGCUUUACACAUGCAAGUCGAACGGCAGCACGGGGGCAACCCUGGUGGCGAGCGGCGAACGGGUGAGUAAUGCAUCGGAACGUAUCCUUGAGUGGGGGAUAACGCAGCGAAAGUUGUGCUAAUACCGCAUAAGCUCUGAGGAGGAAAGCGGGGGACCGAAAGGCCUCGCGCCGGUGGAUGAGCCGAAGUCGGAUUAGCUAGUUGGUAGGGUAACGGCCUACCAAGGCGACGAUCCGUAGCUGGUCUGAGAGGACGACCAGCCACACUGGGACUGAGACACGGCCCAGACUCCUACGGGAGGCGAC
Molecule: ribosomal RNA, 342 nt
Filed under: uncultured prokaryote
Description: bacterial SSU rRNA
Rfam family: Bacterial small subunit ribosomal RNA
Source: RNAcentral